AUUGAACGCUGGCGGCAGGCCUAACACAUGCAAGUCGAACGAGUGGCGGACGGGUGAGUAAUGUCUGGGAAACUGCCUGAUGGAGGGGGAUAACUACUGGAAAAGGUAGCUAAUAACGCAUACCCACAGAGGGGCCCAGAUGGGAUUAGCUAGUUGGUGGGGGAACGGCUCACCAAGGAGACGAUCCCUAGCUGGUCUGGGAGGAUGACCAGCCACACGGGAACUGAGACACGGUCCAGACUCCUACGGGAGGCAGCAGUGGGGAAUAUUGCACAAUGGGCGCAAGCCUGAUGCAGCCAUGCCGCGUGUAUGAAGAAGGCCUUCGGGUUGUAAAGUACUUUCAGCGGGGAGGCGUUACCCGCAGAAGAAGCACCGGCUAACUCCGUGCCAGCCGCCGCGGUAAUUC
Molecule: ribosomal RNA, 406 nt
Filed under: uncultured bacterium
Lineage: Bacteria
Description: partial 16S ribosomal RNA
Rfam family: Bacterial small subunit ribosomal RNA
Source: RNAcentral